This 280-nucleotide ribosomal RNA is filed under the name uncultured Pseudomonas sp. Its description in RNAcentral is "partial 16S ribosomal RNA". It matches the Rfam family "Bacterial small subunit ribosomal RNA", at positions 1107 to 1382 of the family's 1533-position model. The record is from RNAcentral. Lineage: Bacteria; Pseudomonadati; Pseudomonadota; Gammaproteobacteria; Pseudomonadales; Pseudomonadaceae.
GUCCUUAGUUACCAGCACGUUAUGGUGGGCACUCUAAGGAGACUGCCGGUGACAACCGGAGGAAGGUGGGGAUGACGUCAAGUCAUCAUGGCCCUUACGGCCUGGGCGUACACACGUGCUACAAUGGUCGGUACAAAGGGUUGCCGAAGCCGCGAGGUGGAGCUAAUACCCAUAAAACCCGAAUCGUAGUCCGGAUCGCAGUCUGCAACUCGACUGCGUGAAGUCGGAAUCGCUAGUAAUCGUGAAUCAGAAUGUCACGGUGAAUACGUUCCCGGGCCUU